UCCCGUGUAGCUUAGUUGGUAGAGCAUGGUGCCUCCAACACCAGGGUUGUGGGUUUGAUUCCCCUGGGGGGAC
This 73-nucleotide transfer RNA is filed under the name Salmo salar (Atlantic salmon). It matches the Rfam family "tRNA". Rfam says of the family: Transfer RNA (tRNA) molecules are approximately 80 nucleotides in length. Their secondary structure includes four short double-helical elements and three loops (D, anti-codon, and T loops). Further hydrogen bonds mediate the characteristic L-shaped molecular structure. tRNAs have two regions of fundamental functional importance: the anti-codon, which is responsible for specific mRNA codon recognition, and the 3' end, to which the tRNAs corresponding amino acid is attached (by aminoacyl-tRNA synthetases). tRNAs cope with the degeneracy of the genetic code in two manners: having more than one tRNA (with a specific anti-codon) for a particular amino acid; and 'wobble' base-pairing, i.e. permitting non-standard base-pairing at the 3rd anti-codon position. RNAcentral also lists the same sequence under 1 other name. Lineage: Eukaryota; Metazoa; Chordata; Actinopteri; Salmoniformes; Salmonidae. The record is from Rfam by way of RNAcentral.